This 300-nucleotide unclassified non-coding RNA is filed under the name uncultured Basidiomycota. RNAcentral's name for it is "sequence contains 5.8S rRNA gene, ITS2". The stretch from base 1 to 71 matches the Rfam family "5.8S ribosomal RNA", at positions 84 to 154 of the family's 154-position model. Lineage: Eukaryota; Fungi; Basidiomycota. The record is from RNAcentral.
GUGAAUCAUCGAAUCUUUGAACGCACCUUGCGCUCCUUGGUACUCCGAGGAGCACGCCUGUUCGAGUGUCAUGAAGCUCUCAAGCAAGUCUUUUUAUUAAGAUGAGUUUGGAUUUGAACUCUGCCGUGUAACAAACGGCUAGUUCUAAAAGUAUUAGCUGAUCCUAGUAAGGUUUUGGUUCUUACUUGACGUGAUAAUUAUCUAACGUCAAGGACAUUUCUCACUUCACGGUGGGACAUGGCCAGAGUCUUGUCAAGGAUUGCUUCUAAUGGUCUUCAUUUGACAACAUUUUCUUAAUCU